RNAcentral lists this ribosomal RNA (468 nucleotides) under uncultured bacterium. Its description in RNAcentral is "partial 16S ribosomal RNA". It matches the Rfam family "Bacterial small subunit ribosomal RNA", at positions 28 to 507 of the family's 1533-position model. The record is from RNAcentral.
GACGAACGCUGGCGGCGUGCUUAACACAUGCAAGUCGAACGGAAAGGCCCUGCUUUUGUGGGGUGCUCGAGUGGCGAACGGGUGAGUAACACGUGAGUAACCUGCCCUUGACUUUGGGAUAACUUCAGGAAACUGGGGCUAAUACCGGAUAGGAGCUCCUGCUGCAUGGUGGGGGUUGGAAAGUUUCGGCGGUUGGGGAUGGACUCGCGGCUUAUCAGCUUGUUGGUGGGGUAGUGGCUUACCAAGGCUUUGACGGGUAGCCGGCCUGAGAGGGUGACCGGCCACAAUGGGACUGAGAUACGGCCCAGACUCCUACGGGGGGCAGCAGUGGGGAAUAUUGCACAAUGGGCGGAAGCCUGAUGCAGCAACGCCGCGUGCGGGAUGACGGCCUUCGGGUUGUAAACCGCUUUCGCCUGUGACGAAGCGUGAGUGACGGUAAUGGGUAAAGAAGCACCGGCUAACUACGUG